UCCGAGUUGACCCCGGCAGUCUCCUACGAGUCCCCGCCAUUACGCGCUGGCAACAUAGGACAAGGGUUGCGCUCGUUGCGGGACUUAACCCAACAUCUCACGACACGAGCUGACGACAACCAUGCACCACCUGUAAGCCGGCCACAAGUGGCUGACACAUCUCUGCGCCAUUCCGUUUCAUGUCAAGCCUUGGUAAGGUUCUUCGCGUUGCAUCGAAUUAAGCCACAUGCUCCGCUGCUUGUGCGGGCCCCCGUCAAUUCCUUUGAGUUUUAGCCUUGCGGCCGUACUCCCCAGGCGGGGUGCUUAAUGCGUUAGCUGCGGCACAGACGGCGUGGAAUACCGCCUACACCUAGCACCCACCGUUUACGGCGUGGACUAC
RNAcentral lists this unclassified non-coding RNA (379 nucleotides) under uncultured Actinomycetes bacterium. RNAcentral describes it as "uncultured actinobacterium contains 16S-23S intergenic spacer region". The record is from RNAcentral. Lineage: Bacteria; Bacillati; Actinomycetota; Actinomycetes.